Molecule: small nuclear RNA, 19 nt
Filed under: Arabidopsis thaliana (thale cress)
Lineage: Eukaryota; Viridiplantae; Streptophyta; Magnoliopsida; Brassicales; Brassicaceae
Description: snRNA_10825
Source: RNAcentral
ACAAGUACCGCGAGGUAAA